UUAUUCACCAGAAAACCUUAUGGAUUGGACUGUUCUUUCUUCAUUACUGAAAUUUUCAGCAAGACUCCUGCUUAGCUGCAAUUCUCUCAUGAUUCAUCACUCUGUUCCUUGCAACAUAACUUUUAACAUUUCUUGCAGAAGAGGCAAUUCUAAAUCACACAGGAGGCUGGUAGACAAGGAAUGAAUUGUUCCACCUCACACAAGGCUAAGGUUUCCUAUUUUCUCUCUGUUUCCUAGUGCACAGUAAUGCACUGCAAUGCUGGAACUGCACUGAACGUCUGAGUCAGGGCCCAAAGGAGGAAUUUCAGCUGCCAUUAUCUUCACGUGUAACAAGCUGACCAGUUGACAUUCUUAAAGAUCUUACCCCAAAUAUCAAUAUUUCUGUUCUACAAACACAAUAUAAGCCACUUGGAUUUAA
Molecule: long non-coding RNA, 418 nt
Organism: Cyanistes caeruleus (blue tit)
Lineage: Eukaryota; Metazoa; Chordata; Aves; Passeriformes; Paridae
Source: RefSeq, a predicted model, not a curated record